Long non-coding RNA from Bos indicus x Bos taurus (hybrid cattle), 1130 nucleotides. NCBI's taxonomy places the organism in Eukaryota, Metazoa, Chordata, Mammalia, Artiodactyla, Bovidae. The record is from Ensembl.
AAACCCUGAUGCUGGGAAAGACUGAAGGCAGGAGGAGAAGAGGAUGACAGAGGAUGAGAUGGUUGGAUGGCAUCACCGACUCAAUGGACAUGAGUUUGAGCAAGCUCCAAGAGUUGGUGAUGGACAGGGAAGCCUGGCGUGCUGUAGUCCAUGGGGUUGCAAAGAGUCGGACACAACUGAGCAACUGAACUGAACUGAGCUGGGUGCUGUGAUCUCUGCUUUUUACAGGUGGGAAGGUGUUGCUGAGUGAGUUGAAUGGCUGGCUUCCAGGUCCUGUGGCCAGGUGUCUGAUUCAAGCUUCUUUCUGCUAGUUUUUUUUUUUUUUCUGUAAGAUGGAGUGGGAUUGACAGUAUAAUCUAAAAGUCCAGUGUCCCAGCACAAGGCUAAGAGGAUUCAGAUAUGACUUAGGCUAGGCCUGGCAUGCUGCAGUCCAUGGGGUCGCAAAGAGUCAGACAUGACUGAGCGACCUAACUGAACUGAACUGAGGUUUGGGCACUGAGGCCACCAGAAAUGUGUUUGUCUGAUGAACUAAGGAAUCUGCGGGGAGAGAAGUCACCUGAGGAAGAUGGACUCAGGCAGAUGCACUCAGCCUGACACUGAGCAUGAUACGGGGAAGGGGUCAUCGAGACCACAGCAGGCCCGGGCACAGCUGGGGGCCUCAGCGGUGACUGAGCCAAGGCAAGAGGACCUGAGAAUCAUGAACUUCUGGUCCAUAGUAAACCUCUGCUUUCUCCACCAACUCCACUUACCACCAACUCUUGAGUGAAAUCUGAUGGUCCUUGAAGUUGCCCUUCUAACUGACCCAGGAGACUGGAGCCCACCUUUGGAGGCUGAGACGGGAGCACCAAGCCCCAAGGAGGCCUUCUGUGGAGAUGCUGAAGAAAAGUGUUUCCUUCCCGACCAUCUGCAAGGAAAUUACCCAUGAAACCAACUCUAACCAUGCUUUUAAAAACUCCUUCCAUCCAAGUCAUAAUAUUUUUGGAGUGAGAUUUACUUUACAAUAUUUUAGUAACCACAGUGUUGCAACUAGGAGUUCUUUGUAGCUGGUCUCAGGGGCUUUCCUGGGACGUUGCACUUAAUGAGGUUUAUAAUUCAAUAAAACUACAUCUGCAUCUUUAAUUAUGCCUAAC